CCAGGUUCACAGAAAAUAGAAAUUCUUUACACAGUCUUCUGAUCAAUAGAAUCAAAGCCCUUUUUCUGUAAAUACUGGCUAGAGAGUUGCUAACUUCCAUAAUGGAGAAAUGGAAAAAGCAGUUUCUUUCUCCAAUAAAACCACAAAAGCCAUGGUUUUAAAAGAAACUAUAGAGGAUUUCUUGUGUGGAGUCCUUAGCUUUGUGACUGCUGAGAUUUAAGACAUAGGAAAUCAUGACUUCCUCGUGGCAGCCUCAUGAUUCUGAGAUCACAGCACGUGCAUUUGGUACAGCCAGCAGAGGUGGUGGUGUCUUCUCGAAUUCCUGACCUUCUUUCCAUGGCAGAAGAAGCAACCCUUUUGCUAACUGAGGUCUAUGGUGGUGUUCCUGGAAUCUCCAUCUCUAACCUAUUUACCUAAUCCUUCCAAAAAUCUUAUAUUGAAUCUUUUCAUGUUUAAAUUAUUUAGAAUGGUUUGUGGUAUCUGUAAACACUGACCAAUGCUUCCCACAAUAAAAUCAGCAGUAUGGAAAGAAAGAAAGCAGAUGGUUAAAUAGUUUCUAACAUAAUUGCUAAAAAUACAGUUUGUAUGUGGGCUUGGUUAAGGAUCUGUUAAGCUGCAGCUAGAUGCUUUGGCACUUAUGUCUUGUCCACAUAGUAACAAUAUACUCAUUGAUUACUACAUCUUAGAUUUAUAGCUACUUAAUAAUAUAACUUAUUGGAGCAACACAUCUGGGCAAGAGAAAUUUCUUCUUAGUCCUCUUUUGUUUUACAUUCCAAGCUAUACAUACGGUCAUACUUCAUUUUAUUAUGUAUUGCAGAUAUUGCAUUGUUUACAAAUUGAAGAUGUGUGGUGACCCCGCGACAAGCAAGUCUACCAAAGCCACUUUUCAGCAGCAUCUUCUCACUUCCUGUCUCUGUUUCAAUUAUGGUAAUUCUCACAAUAUGCCACCACACCUGGCUAAUUUUCGUAUUUUUUGUAGAGACAGAGUUUCACCAUGUUGCCAGGCCAGUCCGGAACUCCUGAGUUCAAGUGAUCCACCUGCCUCGGCUUCCCAAAUUGCUGGGAUGACAAGUAUGAGCCACCAUGCCUGGCCUGUAAUCUUUGAUGUUACUUUUGUAAUUGUCUUUAGGUGCCACAAAGUGUGACAAUAUAAAACAAUGUACUUAAUUAAUGUA
Molecule: long non-coding RNA, 1175 nt
Organism: Homo sapiens (human)
Lineage: Eukaryota; Metazoa; Chordata; Mammalia; Primates; Hominidae
Source: Ensembl